This 57-nucleotide non-coding RNA is filed under the name unclassified sequences. Its description in RNAcentral is "RAGATH-5 RNA". It matches the Rfam family "RAGATH-5 RNA". The record is from RNAcentral.
GCGGAUGCCCCAGCGGGGCCGCACCGCUCCACCAAAGCGGCCCCGCCCCACUCCCCC